RNAcentral lists this ribosomal RNA (2921 nucleotides) under Staphylococcus aureus. Its description in RNAcentral is "bacterial LSU rRNA". It matches the Rfam family "Bacterial large subunit ribosomal RNA". Lineage: Bacteria; Bacillati; Bacillota; Bacilli; Caryophanales; Staphylococcaceae. The record is from RNAcentral.
UUAAGUUAUUAAGGGCGCACGGUGGAUGCCUUGGCACUAGAAGCCGAUGAAGGACGUUACUAACGACGAUAUGCUUUGGGGAGCUGUAAGUAAGCUUUGAUCCAGAGAUUUCCGAAUGGGGAAACCCAGCAUGAGUUAUGUCAUGUUAUCGAUAUGUGAAUACAUAGCAUAUCAGAAGGCACACCCGGAGAACUGAAACAUCUUAGUACCCGGAGGAAGAGAAAGAAAAUUCGAUUCCCUUAGUAGCGGCGAGCGAAACGGGAAGAGCCCAAACCAACAAGCUUGCUUGUUGGGGUUGUAGGACACUCUAUACGGAGUUACAAAGGACGACAUUAGACGAAUCAUCUGGAAAGAUGAAUCAAAGAAGGUAAUAAUCCUGUAGUCGAAAAUGUUGUCUCUCUUGAGUGGAUCCUGAGUACGACGGAGCACGUGAAAUUCCGUCGGAAUCUGGGAGGACCAUCUCCUAAGGCUAAAUACUCUCUAGUGACCGAUAGUGAACCAGUACCGUGAGGGAAAGGUGAAAAGCACCCCGGAAGGGGAGUGAAAUAGAACCUGAAACCGUGUGCUUACAAGUAGUCAGAGCCCGUUAAUGGGUGAUGGCGUGCCUUUUGUAGAAUGAACCGGCGAGUUACGAUUUGAUGCAAGGUUAAGCAGUAAAUGUGGAGCCGUAGCGAAAGCGAGUCUGAAUAGGGCGUUUAGUAUUUGGUCGUAGACCCGAAACCAGGUGAUCUACCCUUGGUCAGGUUGAAGUUCAGGUAACACUGAAUGGAGGACCGAACCGACUUACGUUGAAAAGUGAGCGGAUGAACUGAGGGUAGCGGAGAAAUUCCAAUCGAACCUGGAGAUAGCUGGUUCUCUCCGAAAUAGCUUUAGGGCUAGCCUCAAGUGAUGAUUAUUGGAGGUAGAGCACUGUUUGGACGAGGGGCCCCUCUCGGGUUACCGAAUUCAGACAAACUCCGAAUGCCAAUUAAUUUAACUUGGGAGUCAGAACAUGGGUGAUAAGGUCCGUGUUCGAAAGGGAAACAGCCCAGACCACCAGCUAAGGUCCCAAAAUAUAUGUUAAGUGGAAAAGGAUGUGGCGUUGCCCAGACAACUAGGAUGUUGGCUUAGAAGCAGCCAUCAUUUAAAGAGUGCGUAAUAGCUCACUAGUCGAGUGACACUGCGCCGAAAAUGUACCGGGGCUAAACAUAUUACCGAAGCUGUGGAUUGUCCUUUGGACAAUGGUAGGAGAGCGUUCUAAGGGCGUUGAAGCAUGAUCGUAAGGACAUGUGGAGCGCUUAGAAGUGAGAAUGCCGGUGUGAGUAGCGAAAGACGGGUGAGAAUCCCGUCCACCGAUUGACUAAGGUUUCCAGAGGAAGGCUCGUCCGCUCUGGGUUAGUCGGGUCCUAAGCUGAGGCCGACAGGCGUAGGCGAUGGAUAACAGGUUGAUAUUCCUGUACCACCUAUAAUCGUUUUAAUCGAUGGGGGGACGCAGUAGGAUAGGCGAAGCGUGCGAUUGGAUUGCACGUCUAAGCAGUAAGGCUGAGUAUUAGGCAAAUCCGGUACUCGUUAAGGCUGAGCUGUGAUGGGGAGAAGACAUUGUGUCUUCGAGUCGUUGAUUUCACACUGCCGAGAAAAGCCUCUAGAUAGAAAAUAGGUGCCCGUACCGCAAACCGACACAGGUAGUCAAGAUGAGAAUUCUAAGGUGAGCGAGCGAACUCUCGUUAAGGAACUCGGCAAAAUGACCCCGUAACUUCGGGAGAAGGGGUGCUCUUUAGGGUUAACGCCCAGAAGAGCCGCAGUGAAUAGGCCCAAGCGACUGUUUAUCAAAAACACAGGUCUCUGCUAAACCGUAAGGUGAUGUAUAGGGGCUGACGCCUGCCCGGUGCUGGAAGGUUAAGAGGAGUGGAUAGCUUCUGCGAAGCUACGAAUCGAAGCCCCAGUAAACGGCGGCCGUAACUAUAACGGUCCUAAGGUAGCGAAAUUCCUUGUCGGGUAAGUUCCGACCCGCACGAAAGGCGUAACGAUUUGGGCACUGUCUCAACGAGAGACUCGGUGAAAUCAUAGUACCUGUGAAGAUGCAGGUUACCCGCGACAGGACGGAAAGACCCCGUGGAGCUUUACUGUAGCCUGAUAUUGAAAUUCGGCACAGCUUGUACAGGAUAGGUAGGAGCCUUUGAAACGUGAGCGCUAGCUUACGUGGAGGCGCUGGUGGGAUACUACCCUAGCUGUGUUGGCUUUCUAACCCGCACCACUUAUCGUGGUGGGAGACAGUGUCAGGCGGGCAGUUUGACUGGGGCGGUCGCCUCCUAAAAGGUAACGGAGGCGCUCAAAGGUUCCCUCAGAAUGGUUGGAAAUCAUUCAUAGAGUGUAAAGGCAUAAGGGAGCUUGACUGCGAGACCUACAAGUCGAGCAGGGUCGAAAGACGGACUUAGUGAUCCGGUGGUUCCGCAUGGAAGGGCCAUCGCUCAACGGAUAAAAGCUACCCCGGGGAUAACAGGCUUAUCUCCCCCAAGAGUUCACAUCGACGGGGAGGUUUGGCACCUCGAUGUCGGCUCAUCGCAUCCUGGGGCUGUAGUCGGUCCCAAGGGUUGGGCUGUUCGCCCAUUAAAGCGGUACGCGAGCUGGGUUCAGAACGUCGUGAGACAGUUCGGUCCCUAUCCGUCGUGGGCGUAGGAAAUUUGAGAGGAGCUGUCCUUAGUACGAGAGGACCGGGAUGGACAUACCUCUGGUGUACCAGUUGUCGUGCCAACGGCAUAGCUGGGUAGCUAUGUGUGGACGGGAUAAGUGCUGAAAGCAUCUAAGCAUGAAGCCCCCCUCAAGAUGAGAUUUCCCAACUUCGGUUAUAAGAUCCCUCAAAGAUGAUGAGGUUAAUAGGUUCGAGGUGGAAGCAUGGUGACAUGUGGAGCUGACGAAUACUAAUCGAUCGAAGACUUAAUCAA